Molecule: ribosomal RNA, 292 nt
Filed under: uncultured bacterium
Lineage: Bacteria
Description: partial 16S ribosomal RNA
Rfam family: Bacterial small subunit ribosomal RNA
Source: RNAcentral
GUGCCAGCCGCCGCGGUAAAACGUAGGAGGCGAGCGUUAUCCGGAUUUACUGGGCGUAAAGCGCACGCAGGUGGCUUCGUAAGUCGGACAUGAAAGCUCCUGGCUUAACUGGGAGAGGUUGUUCGAUACUGCGGGGCUUGAGGUUGGGAGAGGGACGUGGAAUUCCCGGUGUAGUGGUGGAAUGCGUAGAUAUCGGGAGGAACACCAGUGGCGCAAGCGGCGUCCUGGCCCACACCUGACGCUGAGGUGCGAAAGCGUGGGGAGCAAACAGGAUUAGAUACCCCAGUAGUCC